Molecule: non-coding RNA, 29 nt
Filed under: Mus musculus (house mouse)
Lineage: Eukaryota; Metazoa; Chordata; Mammalia; Rodentia; Muridae
Also listed under: 1 other name
Source: RNAcentral
UUCAGAUUACAUUUGAGGUCACUAAUUAC